RNAcentral lists this unclassified non-coding RNA (3335 nucleotides) under Leishmania donovani. Its description in RNAcentral is "gene:LdHU3.35.3530(CDS-product:acyl-CoA_dehydroge nase_putative)". Lineage: Eukaryota; Euglenozoa; Kinetoplastea; Trypanosomatida; Trypanosomatidae. The record is from RNAcentral.
GCUUUGCGAUUCUCUCUCCUUCUCCUCGUUCUUGGCACCCACCUACCCACCAAACACACUCUCAGAAGCAUCAACGAAAGCACGUCGUGAAACAACCAGCGAGAGAGAGCCCCCCCCCCCCAAGCACACGCACAGGCACUCACCUCUGACAAACGCGAGGCUCUUGCAGUGUUGUUUGUGCGUGCUAUCGAUUGCUUCUCGGCCUUUCUAUACACCGCUGCCCAACACCACCGCCCCCUUCCCCCCCCCCGUCUUUCCUCUAGAGGUCCACAAGUCAGUUUUCCAAUGUUCCGCCUUGGGUGCAAAUCGUUGAUGCGGCGCACUGCCGUGGCGCUCUCUAGCGCGGCAGCCGCCGGUGAGGCGCCGCCGAAUCCGGUCACCUACCUCACCGAUGAUGAGAAAAUGCUUGUCGAGACGGUACGUGCCUUUAGCCUGACACACGUGGUGCCGAGGUCUCGCCAGAUGGAUGAAGAGGGCAAGAUGGACCCUGUUGUGCUUAAGGAGGCCUUUGCUGCCGGUCUCAUGGGCAUUGAGACCCCCGCCGACCUCGAGGGUGGCGGCAUGAGCUUCUUUUCCAGCAUUCUCGCUAUCGAGGAGUUGGCGCGUCACGACCCUGCCGUCUCGGUCACGGUGGACGUACAGAACACGCUCGUCAACAACAUCUUCUUCAACUUCGCGAACGACGCGCAGCGCAGAAAGUACCUGCCCAAGCUCGCCAAGGACACAGUGGGCUGCUUCUGCCUCACUGAGGCGGGAAGCGGCAGCGACGCCUUCGCGCUGAAUACGAAGGCGGAGAAGAAGGGCUCGAAGUGGGUCAUCAACGGCUCGAAGCUGUACAUCACGAACGGCGGAUGGGCAGGCAUCUUCCUUGUCAUGGCAACGGUGGACCCAUCGAAGGGCUACAAGGGAAUCACCUGCUUCGUAGUGGACUCUUCUGAGACCCCAGGAGUCUCUGUGGUACGGACAGAGAACAAACUAGGUAUUCGCGCCAGCUCGACGGCCGAGCUCCGACUAGAAAACGUGGAGGUGCCGGAGGAGAACGUGAUUGGAGAGGUCGGCAAGGGCUACAAGAUUGCUAUCAACAUCCUCAACGAGGGACGCAUCGGCAUCGGCGCGCAGAUGCUCGGUAUUGCACAGGGCUCCCUAGACAUCGUCAUGCCGUACCUCUUUCAGCGCAAGCAGUUUGGGAAGUUCAUCGGCGAUUUCCAGGGUAUGCAGAUGCAGUACGCCGAGUGCGCCAUGGAGUUACACGCUGCGCGGCUCAUGGUCUACAAUGCGUCUCGCAAGAAGCAGAACAACGAGAUGUUCAUCCAGGACGCGGCGAUGGCCAAGUAUUUCGCUUCCGUUGUCGCAGAGAAAACGGCCAGCCGUGCGGUGGAGUGGGCUGGUGGCGUCGGCUUCAUGAAGGACUUCGGUCUGGAGCGUUUCUACCGCGAUGCCAAGAUCGGUGCCAUCUACGAAGGUACCUCCAUCAUUCAGCUGCAGACUAUUGCCAAGAUGAUCAAAGCCCAGUACGACAAGUCUUCCUCCCCUUCAGGCGCCUCACAUUAAAGAUACGCUCUCCCUGUCAGCAGCCUGCUCACUGAGAAAUGUGGAUCUACUCAUGUUCCGGGGCGAGGACUGGCAGACGCUAUCGCGUGCGCGCCAGUUGCAACGGCUCGUUUCCAUUGAGAGUAUCCUGCUUUUUUUGUCAAGACGACGUUCUCCUUGACGACGAGGGGGGGGGUGAUAUCUCAGUGCGUGGCAUCUCAGAGCCCACUACCCACGCUCUAUGCGUUGAAAAGCCGAGCAGCUCCCCAGUAUCCCACUGCCCAUCCACAACCACUUUCUCGUGUUGACAGGGUCAGGUACCUAUGAGUUAGUGAAGUCAGAGCAGUGUAUCGCUGCUGAUGUCGGCGGUCAGUCCGUAGAUGGUGCUGCGCUGAAGUGGCCCGCGACUGUGAACACACUUGAGCCACCCAUAUGAAUAGGCAAAAUGUCCACGUGACCCAAACACAUCUCUCACCCGGUCCUCACUGCCUGCUGGCACGGGGAUCCUGAGCCCCACUCCCCAGAGAGUAGUGCACGAUGGGUGGCGGCCUGUAGAACGGGUGGUGGGUGGGUAGGGGCAGAGUCAGAGGCAGUGCCCAGGUGCCGGAGCCGGAGCAUUGACCUUAAGGCGUGUGCCUAGGGCUGCUUCGCACCACAGGAUGCGUGCCUGUGACAGACCAGGGAGGGCAGAGAGAAGUUGCGUUUCUCCUGCAUGGCAGAACAGACUCGUGUGAGAAAAGAGUAUUCCUCGAUCGCGGAACUUCUCUCCAUCAGCCUCUUUCGCUCCCCGACUCCUCUCUGCGCUGUGCUGCGCUUUUCACUCGUGAGUGAAGUCGACUGUCUGAUGUUGUUGUUGUUUUUUUGCUUUUCGUUCAUGUAUGUCUGUGUGUGUACGUCAGAACGCAUGCAUUUCUGUUUUCAUUUGCUCUCUUUGCUGUGAUGCUGUCCCACCACGUGAGGAAUCGUAGGGGAGGGAGACGGCCCGCCGCCGCCUUCUCCUCACUCUCAUGCGCUGCCCAUAUAUAUGCCUCCGACGUGUUUUUUGAAACAUAUGGUGAAGAGGAAGAAAAACGUACGAAAAGGUGGCAAGAAAACAUCGAAUAAACGCCUCCGGAAGAAUCUGCUUGAAUGCGUAUCAAGAAGGGUAGAGCAAGACACCAGACGAUGUGAGCCGCGGCGUCACCGCGUUUUGCCCUCCGCCACCCCAUCUUGGCUGGUUGCUGUUUGCUUCAGCACCCUCCACACUUUUUUUCGUCGCGCUCCGCCUCCCUCUUUUUCUUCAGAGGCCUGCACUGCUGGCAUGAUCCCCAAAACGCUGCCUUGAUUUUCCUUUCUUUUCCGCUUUCCUUGCGGAUGUGUCUGAGGGUUUGAAGCUUAUCUUUUCUUUUUUGUUUUUUCUCUCUCCAACCGCUCGAGCACCGGCGCCGAAGCCUCUUGCUCUUCUUUGCCUGCACUGUUUUUCUUUUUUUCUCCAGCGCUAGGGUGAUGGACAUCGUUGCCUCUAUCGCGUGCUACGCACCCUACACCGCAUCAGCAUGUACCGGUGCAGGGGACUGAAGUUUGCUGUUUUCCUUUUUGUUCUGUUUUCUUCUCUCACUUCUUGACAGACGCUUUUCACUUUCUUUGCGCGACGCUGCGUACGCUUGACCCCUUCUUGCUGCCGUGAGGCAAUGUGCAGCGGCGCGGAGGUGAUCUGUCGCAGCAGCCAUGCACCCGUCAAACAAAGCAGAGCAGAAGAGUGGGGCAGCGGAGCCGGCAGAACAUGACAUUCCAGUAUCCAUGGUAAGCGCGGUUGGGUGCAAACA